GCCAAACAUGCUGAAAAAUAUCCCUGCAGCUUCAAUUUCCUUCAUUGUCUAUGAAAACGUCCUAAACCUGCUAAAAUUGUCUCGGAGAGAGUAUUAGUUCUUUUACAUCCUUUUGCCUCCCAUUCAUGCUGUAGCACUAGGAUUGUACACUAGUGAAACAAUAUCUGGAAAAAGAACACUCACAUGUUAGACGGGACUACAAAUAGAAGAAUCACGAUGCCACUUGAGAGUAUGUAGAAAGUGGACAAUUUAAUGGCUAGUGUACUUGUACAAUAUCUAUAGUCUUUGUAAUUUAUCAGAAAAGAAAUUAUCUUUUGAGUCUUUGUUCAAGUACUCACGAAGCCGCUGCUGUAGCAACAAUAUCGGAUGGAUACUAUGCUUUAACAUCUAAUAAUAAUGUCUCGGAACCAUAUUAGUUAAAAUGCAUGUUCUUGGUUGUUUCAAAAGGAAAACUCGGAGGCCCUCAAGGGUAUGCCCUAGUGGUUGAUGAAGAGGAAUGUGAAUCAUGAGAUCUCAAGUUCAAUUCCUAGCGGAGGCAAAAAAAAUCAGUGAUUUCUCCCAAUCUAUCCAAAUCUUGAUGAAUAGAGUUACCUGG
This 595-nucleotide long non-coding RNA is filed under the name Capsicum annuum. RNAcentral's name for it is "long non-coding RNA (CANN_LNC003668)". The record is from RNAcentral. Lineage: Eukaryota; Viridiplantae; Streptophyta; Magnoliopsida; Solanales; Solanaceae.